UUUUAAUUGCUACUUGUCGUUAUUACAGUUUCUGGUUUGGACCAUGCAUGUUUGUCUGUCAAGUAGUCCUCGACUCUGUAAUAAGCCUUCAACAUCAAUGACUUUUUUAAGUAAUUCUUAAGAGCUGGAAAGGGUAAUCUUAAAGCAUCCUCAGGUAACUUGUUAUAAAAAUGAAUGCAUUGCCCAACGAAUGACUUCUGUACUUUACGAACACGAAACUUUCUGAUAGCAAGCUUGUUUUUAUUUCUAGUAUUAUAGUUAUGGACAUCAGAAUUCUUAGUGAAGGAGUCUAGAUUCUUAACAACAUAAAUAAUACUAUCAUAUAUGUAUUGGGAAGCUACAGUUAAAAUAUUAAUUUCUUUAAAAAGUUCUCUUAAUGAUUCACGCACCCUUAAAUUAUAUAUAGAACGAAUGGCUCUCUUUUGUAAGACAAAUAUAGUCUGUAUGUCAGCUGCUUUGCCCCAAACCAGAAUACCAUAUGACAUUACACUAUGAAAAUAACUAUAAUAAACAAGGCGAGCUGUUUCAACAUUAGUCAAUUGUCUAAUUCUCCUCACAGCGUAAGCGGCCGAACUUAAUUUGUUUGCUAGUGUUCUUAUAUGAGGACUCCAUUGUAGAUUUUUGUCCAAUGUUAAACCAAGAAACAGUGCUUUAUCUACCGUCUCUAAGCAUUCAUUAUUCAAAAGUAUCUUAUUAGUAUCGACUGGUUUAACAUUCGGCAAAGAAAAUCUAACGCAUUUAGUUUUCUUAGCAUUAAGAAGCAAAUUGUUCAUAGUAAACCAGUUAAGUACAUUAACGAGUGUGCUGUUAAUUACACUGUAAUCGGUAGAUUUCUGAUCAACCUUAAAAAGUAAUGAUGUGUCAUCAGCAAAAAGAACAAUUUCACAAAGAUUUUCUACUACACAUGGCAAAUCAUUUAUAUAAACCAAAAACAGGAAUAGACCCAAAAUAGAACCUUGUGGCACUCCUAAUUGGACUACAGUACCGCUAGACCGGGUUUUGUUUACAACAACUGUUUGUGUUCUGUUGCUAAGGUAAGAAGACAUAAAGUUUAGGGCAUUUACUGACAGACCAUAGUGUUCUAAUUUCAAAAUGAGCGUUCCAUGAUCCACACAAUCAAAUGCUUUAGAAAGAUCACAAAAUAUGCCAAUUGCAUCACAAGAAUUUUCCCAAAUAUCAUAAAUAUGUUUAAUAAGUACCGAAGCAGCAUCGGUCGUAGAACGGCCCUUUGUGAAACCAAACUGAUUGCUUGUAAGUAAAGUAUGUCUGUUGAAGUGACCCAGUAGAUCAUUUAACAUUAACUUUUCAAAAACUUUACUUAGUACAGGAAGUAUUGAUAUUGGACGGAAAUUAGCCAUAUCACUCGAAUCACCCGAUUUAAAAAGAGGUAUGACUUUGCUAUAUUUCAUAAGAUCUGGAAAGACGCCUUGUGAAAUUGAAAUAUUAUAAAUUACGGCUAAGUAAGGCGCUAUUACGUCUAAGACAUGACUAAUGACUGUAACGGAUGUUGUUUAUCCGAGACAAUGUUGACUUGACAAUCGCGUGAUUUACAUUUACCAGCUUCCCUAUUUAUAAUAUUCCAUGUUGUCUUCACUUUGUUGUCCGACACUUUCAGUUUAGAACUUGUAUAGUUUGCUUUGGCUGUUAAACACACUCUCUUGAAGAUUUUUGAGUAGUUCCUCACAUAGUCCAGGAAAUCUGUAUUUUUGUUCAGCUCUCUCUCACCAUAAAGUUCAUAAAGCCUUUUUCUACUUUUAUAAAUGCCUGCAGUAGCCCAUUCACUAAACUGUGUUCUAGUUUUUGACCCACUAGCUAAUAGUUUUCAUACUGAAAUUUUGAUUAAAAUGAUAAAGAAUUACGUUAAAAACAUCUUCAUACAAAUUAUUACAGUUGUAAUGUGAAAAUGGUAAAAUACAGAGACUUUUUUGAAUUUCAUUUUUGAAUAAUUCCAAGCGACUACUAGUAAUGGGUCUUUAUGUUAUUGUUUGUGGAGUAUCAUGAAUAUCGCUUAAGAAAA
This is a long non-coding RNA of Cydia splendana, 2017 nucleotides long. RefSeq lists it as uncharacterized. NCBI's taxonomy places the organism in Eukaryota, Metazoa, Arthropoda, Insecta, Lepidoptera, Tortricidae. The record is from RefSeq and is a predicted model, not a curated record. The transcript is spliced from 2 exons.